GUCUGCAUUUGAUGGAGAUACAGAAAUGCAGAGUGAAUGUACAAUAUGUACAAGAAUCAAGUGUUAAUAAAAAGAAGCCAUAAUCAAAUACUCGAGAGCCAACAGAAAUGGCAGCUACACUGUUCCCUUUCAGAUCAGAUGAAUAUCCACAGUCCAAAAGACUAACUACGCCCAGUACACUCUCCUCAGGGCCUUUUAUGGUUCAAUGUGAACAUCUCGUAAUCUCAGGCCUGAAGUGCCCUGACCUUGUAAAGGCCUUGAGGGGCAUGAAUAUGAUUAUUUUCCAAGGUCGGAGGAGUCCAAACCAGCGGGCAUAGAUUUAAGGAUGAAGGUGUCCCAGGCUAGUCAAGCAUCUAUUACCCAUCCCUAAUUGCCCAGAGGGCAGUUAGCUGUCAACCACAUUGCUGUGAGUCUG
Chiloscyllium plagiosum (whitespotted bambooshark) is the source of this 415-nucleotide non-coding RNA. The record is from RefSeq and is a predicted model, not a curated record. Lineage: Eukaryota; Metazoa; Chordata; Chondrichthyes; Orectolobiformes; Hemiscylliidae.